Molecule: long non-coding RNA, 996 nt
Filed under: Ananas comosus (pineapple)
Lineage: Eukaryota; Viridiplantae; Streptophyta; Magnoliopsida; Poales; Bromeliaceae
Description: long non-coding RNA (ACOM_LNC010804)
Source: RNAcentral
CAAAUGAAUAUAGUUUUGGAUAUGGAUAUCAAAAAUAAAAAUCCGACGGAUUUGAAUUCAGAUAUGGAUUUUAAUUGCAUCAUCCCAGCUCGAAACUAAGUGGAACUUGAAUUUAUUACGUUAUAUAUAUGCGUGUGUGUGUGUGUGUGUGUGUGUGAGAGAGAGAGAGAGAGAGAGAGAGAGAGAUGUUAUAUUUGAAUAUAUAUUUUAAAAUUUUAGAUUUAAUUUAAUAUAUUUUAAAAUAUUGUAAAGAAAAAUAAAUAUUUCGGGUUUGGAUUUUUGGGUUCAGGCAAGUGUUCGGGUUUUGGAUUUUUAGUCAGGUAUAGGUGUGGAUAUGAUUUUCUAAAAUUCAUCGAAUUUGGAUUCGGAUUCGAAUUUUUGAAAAUCCGCCCCGAAUCCUACCCUUUUACAUCUCUACGAUGGAUGAAGAUGAAAGAUAGAGAGAGAAAAAGGAAACACAGAGUAGCGUUUGGUUCGGGAACAGAGGGAAUAAGCCCUUGUUCCCCCCUUUGUUCCCAAACGUAGCGUUCGUAGCAUUUGGUUUCCGGGAACAGUAGUUCCUGGGUUCCUGGAAUAAGCUGGUAUAAAACUAGAACUGAUGUUCUACCAUUUUCCUGGAACAAGCUUGUUCCCGGAUGAGAACAAGCUUAAUUAAUGCCUAAAUUUAAUUUUAAUGACAGUAAAUCAUUAAUUAAUCUAAUAAAUAUAUUUAAAUUAUUAUUUAUUGCUUAAAUAAUAAAAUAAUUAAUUAAUUUUUUAUUUAUAAUUAAUUAUUAAUAAAUAGAUAAUUAUUAUUAUUAUUUUAUUAUUUAUAAUUAAUUAUUAAUAAUUAUUCUUAAUAAUUAGAUUAGGGAUAUUAUUAUUAAUUUAUUAUUUAUAAUGAAUUAUUAUUAAGUUUUAUUAAUAAUGAUUAUUUAUUAAUAAUUAAUAAUAAUUAUUAUUAUUAAUAAUCAGAUAAUCCAUAUUAUUAUUAAUUAAUAAUUAUUAAUAAUUAUU